Molecule: ribosomal RNA, 308 nt
Filed under: uncultured bacterium
Lineage: Bacteria
Description: bacterial SSU rRNA
Rfam family: Bacterial small subunit ribosomal RNA
Source: RNAcentral
GAUGAACGCUAGCGGCAGGCUUAACACAUGCAAGUCGAGGGGCAGCAUAAUCUUCGGAUUGAUGGCGACCGGCGCACGGGUGCGUAACGCGUAUGCAACCUACCCUUUACAGGGGGAUAGCCCGAGGAAACUCGGAUUAAUACCCCAUAACAUUACUGUAUCGCAUGGUACUGGUAAUUAAAAUUUCGAUGGUAAAGGAUGGGCAUGCGUAAGAUUAGAUAGUUGGUGAGGUAACGGCUCACCAAGUCUACGAUCUUUAGGGGGCCUGAGAGGGUGAACCCCCACACUGGUACUGAGACACGGACCAG